CUUUAAAACAUAGCUGUCAACUUUUCCCUUUUUAAAAGGGAAAUCCUAUUUGGAAUAAGGGAAUUUCCCUUUUAAAAAGGGAAACGUUGACAGCUGUGCUUUAAAG
Non-coding RNA from Podarcis lilfordi (Lilford's wall lizard), 106 nucleotides. The record is from the annotation of a GenBank genome assembly. NCBI's taxonomy places the organism in Eukaryota, Metazoa, Chordata, Lepidosauria, Squamata, Lacertidae.